GACGAACGCUGGCGGCGUGCUUAACACAUGCAAGUCGAACGGAAAGGCCCUGCUUUUGUGGGGUGCUCGAGUGGCGAACGGGUGAGUAACACGUGAGUAUCCUGCCCUUGACUUUGGGAUAACUUCAGGAAACUGGGGCUAACACCGGAUAGGAGCUCCUGCUGCAUGGUGGGGGUUGGAAAGUUUCGGCGGUUGGGGAUGGACUCGCGGCUUAUCAGCUUGUUGGUGGGGUAGUGGCUUACCAAGGCUUUGACGGGUAGCCGGCCUGAGAGGGUGACCGGCCACAUUGGGACUGUGAUACGGCCCAGACUCCUACGGGAGGCAGAAGAGGGGAAUAUUGCACAAUGGGCGGAAGCCUGAUGCAGCAACGCCGCGUGCGGGAUGACGGCCUUCGGGUUGUAAAACGCUUUCGCCUGUGACGAAGCGUGAGUGACGGUAAUGGGUAAAGAAGCACCGGCUAACUACGUG
This 468-nucleotide ribosomal RNA is filed under the name uncultured bacterium. RNAcentral describes it as "partial 16S ribosomal RNA". It matches the Rfam family "Bacterial small subunit ribosomal RNA", at positions 28 to 507 of the family's 1533-position model. The record is from RNAcentral.